CGGACGGGUGAGUAAUGUAUGGGGAUCUGCCUGAUGGCGGGGGAUAACUACUGGAAACGGUAGCUAAUACCGCAUAACGUCGCAAGACCAAAGAGGGGGACCUUCGGGCCUCUUGCCAUCGGAUGUGCCCAGAUGGGAUUAGCUAGUAGGUGGGGUAACGGCUCACCUAGGCGACGAUCCCUAGCUGGUCUGAGAGGAUGACCAGCCACACUGGAACUGAGACACGGUCCAG
Molecule: ribosomal RNA, 232 nt
Filed under: uncultured bacterium
Lineage: Bacteria
Description: partial 16S ribosomal RNA
Rfam family: Bacterial small subunit ribosomal RNA
Source: RNAcentral